This 292-nucleotide transfer-messenger RNA is filed under the name Enterococcus faecalis. RNAcentral's name for it is "partial transfer-messenger RNA". It matches the Rfam family "transfer-messenger RNA", at positions 78 to 374 of the family's 374-position model. Rfam says of the family: Bacterial tmRNA, also known as 10Sa RNA or SsrA, is named for its dual tRNA and mRNA-like properties. Lineage: Bacteria; Bacillati; Bacillota; Bacilli; Lactobacillales; Enterococcaceae. The record is from RNAcentral.
AGGUUAAAUAUAACUGCUAAAAACGAAACAAAUUCUUUCGCUUUAGCUGGCUAAAAACCAGCUAACGAAGUUCCUCCCGGUCUCGCCCAUGUGCUCGGGUCAGGGUCCUAAUCGAAGUGGGAUACGCUAAAUUUUUCCGUCUGUAAAAUUUAGAAGAGCUUACCAGACUAGCAAUACAGAAUGCCUGUCACUCGGCACGCUGUAAAGCGAACCUUUAAAUGAGUGUCUAUGAACGUAGAGAUUUAAGUGGCAAUAUGUUUGGACGCGGGUUCGACUCCCGCCGCCUCCAUAC